RNAcentral lists this small RNA (116 nucleotides) under Marmota monax (woodchuck). Lineage: Eukaryota; Metazoa; Chordata; Mammalia; Rodentia; Sciuridae. The record is from RNAcentral.
GCCAGGUAUGAUGGCAUGUGCCUAUUUCCCAGCUACUUGGGAGGUUGAGACAGGAGGAUCCCUUGAGCUCAGGAGUCUGAGGGCAGCCUGGGCAACAUAGGGAGAUUCCGUCUCAA